UGGGUGGUCCGCCGCCGGCAACGCCGCGAAAAGUCCACUGAACCAUAUCAUUUAGAGGAAGGAGAAGUCGUAACAAGGUUUCCGUAGGUGAACCUGCGGAAGGAUCAUUG
This 110-nucleotide ribosomal RNA is filed under the name Oxalis oculifera. RNAcentral's name for it is "partial 18S ribosomal RNA". It matches the Rfam family "Eukaryotic small subunit ribosomal RNA", at positions 1707 to 1831 of the family's 1831-position model. Lineage: Eukaryota; Viridiplantae; Streptophyta; Magnoliopsida; Oxalidales; Oxalidaceae. The record is from RNAcentral.